Molecule: microRNA precursor, 101 nt
Filed under: Lottia gigantea (owl limpet)
Lineage: Eukaryota; Metazoa; Mollusca; Gastropoda; Lottiidae
Description: microRNA lgi-mir-252a precursor
Gene: lgi-mir-252a
Rfam family: mir-252 microRNA precursor family (bases 13-86)
Source: miRBase by way of RNAcentral
AACAAAGAUCGAAGUAAAUACUAAGUACUGGUGCCGCGGGAGGUUAUAAUUGAUUACUCCUGCGACUCUUGUGCUUACUAUGUCAAGCGAUCAAUAACAUC